This 8749-nucleotide long non-coding RNA is filed under the name Brachypodium distachyon (stiff brome). RNAcentral's name for it is "long non-coding RNA (BDIS_LNC000024)". The record is from RNAcentral. Lineage: Eukaryota; Viridiplantae; Streptophyta; Magnoliopsida; Poales; Poaceae.
CCGCCGCCGCCGCCACGUCCACCGUAGCCGCCGCCACCACCGCCGUAGCCUCCUCCACCCUGGCUGCAGUCCCUCGCCAUGUGGCCCUCCUCGCCACAGGUGUAGCAACCACGGCCGCCACCGCCGCCGCUACGGCCGCCGUAGCCGCCUCCACCACCGCCGUAGCCGCCACCGCCGUAGCGGUCGCCUCCACCGUAGCCGCCGCCGCCGCCACCUCCGUAGCGGUCGCCGCCGCCGCCGCCGCCGCCGUAGCGCCCACCACCACCGCCUCCGCCGUAGCGGUCGCCGCCGCCGCCGCGUGAGCCGCCGGCGAGGGUUACGCCGCCAGGUCCGGUGACGUCGAUGGCCUUGGUGCGGCCAUCGUCGCCGGAUCCGACGACGAACUCGACGGUGGCGCCUUCGUCGAGGCUGCGGAAGCCGUCGGACUUGAUGGAGGACUGGUGGACGAAGAGAUCCUCGCCGCCGUCCUCCGGGGAGAUGAAGCCGAACCCCUUCUCGACGUUGAACCACUUCACGGUGCCCUUGACCCUCUCCGCCAUCUCGCUUGACCCGCCGCCGGACGAGGAGAACCAAAACCCUAGAAACCCUAGAUCGGUGUGGAGAGGAGGCGAGAGAGGGGUGCUGGCCGGCUGGGGUGUUUCUUUUAUGGCGUACUCAUUUUUUUGGUUGAAAGCCCACCAUGGGUCAUGGGCCUCAUGGCGCAGUCUGGCCAUAGUGACAAGCUCCAGCACUGGGCCAAAAGGCAAAUUGAUUUGGUAUGGUAAAUGUGAUUACCGUAUUGUUUUUUUUUUGCUAUAAGUUUGGUUAAAAAGUUUGAAAGUCAAAAAAGUUACAGAAAAUAUCACAAAACCACAACCGUUACAUCCAUCUUAUCACUUAACCACAACUUCUGGAACUUUUCUCCGAAAACCACAACCGAGCCUCCUAAUUGCCUUUGGCUUCUGUUAACAGCGAAACUGACGUUCCUGGCCCACAUGUAAGUGCUGACGGGGCAGCUGACGAGGCACCGGGCGAGCCAGACUCCGACCGGUCCGGUCGGUAGAUAAGCCGGGCAAUCCGCGAGCCCAUUCUGCGCGCGAAAAGCAAGUAUCAUUUCCCUCCAUUCGCGCCUUCACGGGCGGCGGCGGCGGCAGCUUGGAGCUCGCCGGUGGGAAGGAGCUCUUGCCCGCGAAGGAGCAUGUCGGCGGAACACUGCAAUGGAUAAUGAGGUGAGUCAACUCCAUACAUUUGGGGAUUAGGGUUUGGUUGAUUGGAAUUUGAGGAUUUUGGGAUUAGGGUUCGCUUCAUCCGCUUCGAUUUGGGGGAUUCGGUGCAUGCAGAGUGGAAUUGAAGGGGCUCACAUACGAAUUGCAGGGGAGUUGCCGCUUCUAUGGCAAAGUUCCUAUCGACAUUGACAAUGUGGAGUUCUGUGGUGUGGAGGUGGACACGAAGCUGAAGUGCCGCCAUGGGUUGCAGCCAGUUCGUAGGGUUGCCUUUGAGGGCACUGAUACAGGCCGACGCUUCAUCAGUUGUUGUAUUGAGGUAACACUCAUUUGCAGUAAAUGUAUGCGUGUGUAGAAGAGGUUAAUUGAUUCCAAUCUUGUUUGCUGCUUAGGAUGCUGACAGGUGCGAUUUCAUCUGUUGGUAUGAACCUGAAUGGCCCAUGACAAUGAAGAAUGCUCUUCAAGCUUUGUGGAAGAAGCUAGAUGAGAAGGAGCAGAGUAUGUACUGUGAGAUUGAUUCGUUGUUGAAUCACAUGUUAUAUGAGAAGUUGAAGGCAGAGAAAGAAAAAGAAGAUGUGGAGACUGAAAUAGCAGAAAUUGUAGCUGAAUUUGAGGAGAAGCUGCAGGUUAUGAGGACAACUGUCGAGAAGAAGAACAAAUGGUUCAUGAUUUCAGUUAGCUGCAAUGUAGUGAUGCUUGGAGUUUUAGCUUCUGUGUUUGCUCUCAAAACAUGAUGUGUAAUCUGUGUUUGCUCUCAAAUCAUGAUGUGUAAUCUGUCACAAUGAAUGUGCACUCAAUAUGUUGGCUGUUGUUUAUUAUGAAUGAAUAUCAUCUGUUUGAAUGCUUUUUGAAUGAAUAUCAUAUGUUUGAAUGAGUUUUGAAUGGAUAUCAUAUGUUUGAAUCUGCACAGUAAAUUGAGGAUGUGUGUAAUGCUAGAAUUGGGACGGAAUGAAACACAGACUUGCUAGAAUUUGGAUAGAAUGAAACACAUCAUGUCGAUAACAUGAACUGGAUCUUAAAGUGCCAUAUAAGCUUGCCAAAAUACACACAUAUUCAGUCGCUUGUACAGCCACACAACCUGGCCAAAUGCAUAUACUCGGUCACUUCUACAGCCACACAACCUGGCCAAAAUGCACACAGUCUCAGUCACUUCUACAGCCAUAAGAGGUUCACAACAACAUAACAAGUUCACAACUACCAUAAGAGGUUACACAGCAUUGUCAUCAACUCUGAAAGAAGAUUCUACCCCUGCAGUGAAGUACUCCAUCAUUCUUCCCCUUGGUUUUGUCACUCCUCCUCUUCCUCUAACAGCAGGCGUCUUUGCUGCCCUUGGAACUCUAUCUGGUGCAGACCUGGGAGCUUCAUAUGCUGGCUCUGGAGUUGUGUAGCUUGGUUUUGGAGGUGGGUAGCUUGCUAAUGGUGGUGGUGGUGUGUAGUUUGGUUCUGGAGAUGGGUACCUUGCUAGAGGUGGUUCAGUGCUUACAUCUCCUCCUGCUGAGCCUCCUUCAUCUUCUUGCCUUCUUCUAUUACUCUAAUGACAUGAAAAAGAAGUUAGUUAUGCUUAGUGUUAUAUAAAUGUGUAUAAUAGAAAUCAUUAAAUUACCUGAUGUUGUCUUUUCCUAAUCUCCAGAUCAGGCCUCAAAGGUUUGGAGCAGCUUGUGUACUUAUGGCCUUGCAAGUGACAGUUGCUACAAGUGGAAGUUGUCAUUCUCUCUUUUCCUACAGGUAUCUUAGCUUUCUCAUCUGCUCCUUUCCUUCUAUUCUUCUUACUUCUACCAGGGUGGUUCAAGAAAAUAGAUGGAUCAAUAUCAGGACUGGCUGUCUUGGUCCAUGCAUGCUUGCCAGGGACUGGAUACACAAACAGCUUGUGUUCUUCUUUGUAUAAAGGCAUUUUGAAAAAUGGGCUAACAUAGUCUAGGUGACUUCUUACUUUGUAGAUGGCAGCACAAGCAUGCUUGCAUGGCACUCCAUUCAGGUCCCAUCUUCUGCAGCCACAUGUGUGAGCUAACAAGUUAACAGGAUAACUAUGAUCUCCACUUCCUACCUGCCAUAUUCCUUGUCCAGCACACACUGGCCUGCAUGGCCUUGAUCUCUUUUUCUCCAUCUCUAACUGUUCAACAUACUUUGGACAUAUCUCCCAAUUAGCUGUUGCAGCCCCCUCUCUCUUUUGGUUAAAUCUGGCAAUUAGUUUAGUCCUAAUCCCUUCUAUCAUUGUUAUAAUAGGUUUAUCUCUUAAUGAUAUGAUGAAUUUGUUGAAAACCUCACAUAAGUUGUUGACCACUAAAUCAGUUUUACAAUUGGUGUCCAUAGCAUGUCUACACCAGUGCUUAGUUAGUAUCUUGUUCAACCAUUCCCAUGCAGCCUCAUACUCAUCUUUCAAAGCAGCCAUAGCCUCAUCAAAGUGGUGCUUAGUGUAUGCAUAACUAGCACUGUACAUUAACUUCUUUAAGUCACCACCCUUAAACCCUGUUGUCUGAUAAUUCUGGUACAAAUGCCUAAGACAAUAUCUUUGUUCACAAUCAGGAAAAACUCUGUCUAAGGCUCCAAGCAGACCCUAUUAAUGUAAUAAAGUAUUUAUGUCAGCCAUACGAAACAAUUUCAACUUUGAAUUCAUAUUUCCUACAUAUGUAUGUAUGUAGCAUACCUUGUGUCUAUUAGACAUGAAGGUCCAUCUACCAAAUGGGCCCGAAUCACCACCAAGUGCAUAUUUGAGCUGUUCCAAGAACCAACACCAGCCAGGGGUAUCCUCUUUGCCAACCACAGCAAAAGCCAAAGGAAACAAAUUAUUGUUUCCGUCCCUUCCUGAAGCUGCCAAGACUUGAGCCCCAGUGGUCAACUUGAUAAAACACCCAUCAACACAUGAUAAUAUACAUUUUUUGUUAUUUAACUAUGAAAUGUACCGGAUAGUGUUUUAAACAAUGGGACAAUAGUUUAAUGAUUUACUUAUGAAGGGCCUGCAUCCAUUUUUAAAUCCUUCAAUUUGUGCAUUCAGGCAGUAGAACAGCCCAUGAAACCUAGGAUUGAUAGCUGGCCUUGGUUGCAUCAUGGUGUGGACAAUACACCUGCUGCCUGGAUUGGUAUCAAGGACAGUCUGGAGGUAAUCUCUAAUUCUCACAUAUUGCUCCUUGUGAUUCCCUAACACCACCUCAACUGCCUUUGCUCUUGCCCUAUAAGCUGUCAAUUUUGACACUUCAACACCAUAGUUUCUGAUGGUCUUGUCAAUCAUUGCUGUUACUUUCCAAUCUGGGUCACUCCUUAUUGCCUCCUCAUAUAUCUUGCUAAGCCAGCCACUAGUGACCCUUGAUGUCUCCUAGUCUAUUCCACAGGAAUGAUUCAUUACAAGCUUUCUAAUGCACACUGUCUUCUCAUGUUUAAUUUGUGAAGCUACCAUAUAGAAUGGACAUAAUUUUUUCCUACAACGAACAAUUACUCUAUCUCUAUCAUUUCUGAGAUACUUGUAGUCUCUAGCUUGUGCAAUGUGCAAACCCUUUAGAGCACGUCUAAACUGAUGGACAUCAGUAAAGCACAUGCCUAACAUAAUCUGAUCAUAAGGCUGCUUCCUAGCUUCAUCAUACCAUACCCUAGGAGGUAACUUCUUGGCUCUACUCUUCUUCUUAAGUGGUUGCAUCAGUGUAGCUACUUCAGCCUCAUCAUCAUCACUAGAUCCCAACUCUUCUUUGAUGUUCAGAUCAUCAUCAGACAAUACAAAUACUGGGACAUCACUACUAGAACCUUGGGCUGAUGCAUCUCUCUUCUGUGUCCCAAUUGUUGAAGCUUUCCUUUUCCUUCCUGUGCUGACAGAUGCUUGAGUUUCUUGCACUGGAGCUUCAACAUUAAUUGGAACUGGAUCUGGCAGAGGCACAUCAUCUGGUUCAGCAAACAAAUCCUCAUCUUCUAUAUCUCUUUCUACAUGCAAUUCAGGAUCAUCUUUCUCUCUCUAAAUCUCUUGCAUUUUCUCCAAUGCCUCCAAGUCCACUAUAUUCCCACUGCCAUCAGGUGCAAAUGCUUCAUCUGCACUGCUAUCAUCUGAAAGUACCGACAUGCCCUCCUCAUCAAUGCUAGCAAUGCCUUUCCCUUUGUCCUUCUGCAAAUGCAAACUCUCUUUAUUCACACUCUCUUGUGUGCCAACAUCUGCUGCCUCAACAAACUCAGGUUAUCUAGUUGGCUUAAAAGAUCUCUUAGGCUUUGAAGGUGAUGGCUUCAAUUUGGGCUUCAAAGGAGAUGUACAUUUCCUAAAGAUUGUCAAGGUGACUUUCUUGACAGCCUCAUACUUCUUCACCAUCUCUUCUACCUUCUCAUUGCUAUCUACCACCUCAAGCCCAGCAAUGCCUUUGCUUUCUUGAUUCAUAUAGUACAUAUAUGAAUCCCCAAUGUAUCCAAAGGUAGAAAUCAAAUUGAGCAAGUUCUGAUAUCUCAAAUCUGUCCUGCCAAUCCUUCGUUUAACCAUGUCUAAGCCAUCAAACAGCAGGUUGACAUCCCAAACCUCAUCGUCAAGCCUACGGCAUUUGAAUGAAAAAGUAGUCAAUUCAGAGCACAAAUAACAGAAACUCGCCCCAAAAAGUACACCUAAUUCAUGUCUAACCAAACCCUAACCUCUCAACCUCUAUCAGGUCCCGAUUUACCUAACCCUAGCUAAUUCGUCACCAUUGUCAAAAUACUCCAUGACGCAGCGAUUAUUCCCACAAAUGCAAUCCACCUAAAUCCGCAACGAAAAUCACCAAAAAAAAACGUCGAUCAUCCAAAUCCCCCAACCCUUCCUCGCAAGCACAUACCAUCGCGAACAAAUCAACCGACCCCAAGAUGCGAGAGAAUCAGGAAAGAGAUCGACGGAUCUUACCAAACCCCGUCGCCAUAGUCGCUCCAGUUUAUCGACAUUGCCGCCGUAGAUCUCCAGCAGCACGCCCGGCGACGCCCAACCCGUCGUCGUCGCCUACUCUGUCGCCUUUUCAGAGAGAGAGAGAGAGAGAGAGAGAGAGCGGGGAAGGAGGGGAAUGGACUGGUUCGGUCGAACCAGAUCCAAACCCAAAUAAACCAGCCCGGUGCUCCGUCAGCACUUACACGUGGGCUAGGAACGUCAGUUUCGCUGUUAACAGAAGCCAAAGGCAAUUGGAGGCUCGGUUGUGGUUUUCGGAUAAAAAUUCAAGAAGUUGUAAUUAAAUGAUAAGAUGGACGUAACGGUUAUGACUUUGUGAUAUUUUCUCAAAAAGUUAUACAACCUGUAUUUCGGAACGAAGGGAGUGGUAAUUUCUUGUCGAUGUGCACUUGUUUGCUUAUUUAGCUGUUGGUUCCUUUCGUUUUUUUCUUAAGACAUACGGUUCAGCCUCUCAUACUACUCGGGACAGAGGUAGCAGCUGAUAAUAAAGCUCUUUAUUUAGACAGAUAUAUAAACAUAUUGCUGGAAUAUAUCAUUGAAGAAACACGUUCCACUACACCAUGUGAAAUGUUCAUAACAAAGUUCACGCAAAAUUGUUCCCUGUGACGACUGACCAGACACACACAUAGACUUCGCCCCACGCGGGCUUGGAUAAUACCCCGUUGAGCGGCCCAUUUCGCUCCCCGCCUGCUGGUGCCCACAGCCCACUGUCCGCGCGUCUUGAAGAAAACCGACGAGCCACAACCAGGCUGCCAGCCAUGACCCACUGUCUUACGGCUCAAAUUCUCGAUUCACCGCCGCCGUGGGUUCAGCCUGAACCUUGAACACUAAUAAGUAGUAUCUCCUUGCUCUCAAAAAAAAAAAGCAAUAUCUCCUGACAAUAUAGUACUCCUUCCUCUGUUCCAUAUUAAUCCUCUGUUCCAUAUCAAGUGACUUUUUAUUACAUGUAUCUAAUUUAGACAUUUUUUAGGCAUAGAUACAUCCGCAUAUUACAUGUAUCUCCUUGCUCUCUCUCUCUGUCGGGAAGAAUUACAGGAUCUCUGAACUUUCAGAUUAAAAGCAGAGCUUCGAUGCAUCUGGAGUUCCAGGCAAAGACAGAUUCAGCUGAACAAAAUAUCUUGGUGGCUAAAAGCAACCAUUGCUAAUCAAACAUCACAAUUUUCAGACAGUGUGCAAACAGUUUAUCUGCAAAUGAUGGAGACAUGAAACCGAACAAGCAUAUAGGGAAAUGUUUUUGCACUGGAAUGAAAACAGUCAAGAAAGAGCAAAACCUUUUCUCUGUGACCUGUCAAAGUUUUGAACUGGAAUGAAACCAGUCAAGAAAGAGCAAAACCUUUCUCUGUGACCUGUCAACAGAAACAGUAUGUUUCAAUUGCAGGGAAUCUGACCCCUUCAGAUUCCUCAGGUGGUUGAUCAAUGAAGCAUUGUGGCUCUUUGCCUCAAGGUACACGAUACGCUGGCUGAGCACAGAAGAUGGAGGGUGCCUGACCCUUGAGGAAAAAGCUGGUGCAAGACAUCUACUGCAUAUUUUCUGAAAAUUGUGAGUAUGCAGAACAGCAAGGUAAUUGAGCUUCCAGAGCCAUCAUCUUCGGAGUAUACAGAAGAAGAAAAGGAUUAAUUCCAAACUUCUGAUCGACCUCCCAGGCGAUCGCUGACCAAAGUUUGGGGUUGCAUUGUGAGGGCACUGUUACUAAGGCUGCCAUUGAUAUUUCAAGGACUCACCAUUUGAGUCAGCCCAGGUAAGGAUAUAAUCUUACUGUAUCAGAAAACAGCAGUGUAUCUGUGUAUCAACAAAAUUUACAGGAUCUCUGAACAGUAUUAAUGCAGCAACUUUCAGAUUAUGCAGAUUCAGUUGAACAAAAUCAAACAUCACAAUUUUCAGAAAAGUGUGCUAACACUGGGAUUCAAGUCACAUGGCUGGCAAAAUUCCAUAUCAUCAUCAUCAUACACUCGCAGUUAUCACAAUCUUCGGAAAGUGUGCUUACCUGACUCGGCAAACCCACCAGUGAAUCCAUGCAUGGAAGCUGCAAGUCGGAUCACAAAUGUUGAUCCCAAGAAGACAUGCCGAAGGCUAAAAACUUGCUCGAAAUUUACUUUUAGAAUAUAGUUUUUGCUUCUGUCUCAAACAGGAUAAUGAAAUUACUUAGAACAGGAAAUCACUCAUACUCCCAAGGAUCCAUCCACAUUACUUCACGUUCGAGCAGGACGGGGAACACUACAGAUAAGACUGGCAUGACUUGCUGCAGAAUCAAGACGGGGCAAAACGAAACACGGGAGACAGAUCUGACGACGAGAUGAUGAAGCGCCUAGUUGGCCCUGUUGGGGCACUCCCUUGAGAUAUGGCCCUCCUCCCCACAGUUGUAGCAAGCACGGCCACCGCCGCCGCCGCCGCCGCCACGUCCACCGUAGCCGCCGCCGCCGCCGCCACCGCCACCGCCGUAGCCUCCUCCACCCUGGCUGCAGUCCCUCGCCAUGUGUCCCUCCUCGCCACAGGUGUAGCAACCACGGCCGCCACCGCCGCCGCCGCCGCCGUAUCGGUCGCCGCCUCCGUAGCCGCCGCCACCCCCACCGUAGCGGUCGCCGCCGCCGCCGCCGUAGCGCCCACCACCACCGCCUCCGCCGUAGCGGUCGCCGCCGCCGCCGCGUGAGCCGCCGGCGAGGGUGGCGCCGCCAG